Molecule: small RNA, 646 nt
Filed under: Pongo abelii (Sumatran orangutan)
Lineage: Eukaryota; Metazoa; Chordata; Mammalia; Primates; Hominidae
Description: retained intron
Source: RNAcentral
UAAAGUUAAGGCAGAAAAAUUAUUGGAAGAACUUGAUAAUGGAGUAUUAUUAUGUCAACUGAUUGAUGUUCUUCAAAACAUGGUGAAAACAUGCAACUCUGAAGAAUCAGGGAAUUUUCCAAUGAGAAAAGUGCCCUGUAAGAAAGAUGCUGCAUCAGGUUCAUUCUUUGCUCGGGACAAUACCGCAAACUUCCUUCACUGGUGUAGGGACAUUGGGGUUGAUGAAACUUACCUCUUUGAAUCGGAAGGUUUAGGUAAGUGAUGUUGUUGUCAUUCUUGUUUUCAAUGCUUACUAGGAUGUUUUAAUAUCCUUCACCUCUAAUUUUUCUUUCCAUAUAAGGACUCAAAUGCCUCAUCUCAUUUUCCUAGAAAAAUGUAUACUUUGAAUAUAUGUAGAACUAUUGGAGAAUCAGAUACUAAAUCAAAUAUAUUAACCUUUUCACUUAAAGAUUUUAUGCGUCUAGAAUGUCCUAAAAUUCUAAAUUCCUAAAUGAGUUGCUACAGGAAGGUUCUGGACUAAUGCUUUAGUAAUUAAUAUUUUCAUUAAGAAUUACUCUACCAAGCCUAAAAAGUAGUAACUUCCCUUUAACCGGAUAAUUACGGCAAUGACAGAAGGCCUAAUAAUGUAUUAUCAUGGUGUUUAGCU